Molecule: ribosomal RNA, 407 nt
Filed under: uncultured bacterium
Lineage: Bacteria
Description: partial 16S ribosomal RNA
Rfam family: Bacterial small subunit ribosomal RNA
Source: RNAcentral
GACGAACGCUGGCGGCGUGCCUAAUACAUGCAAGUAGAACGCAGUUGCGAACGGGUGAGUAACGCGUAGGUAACUGCCUGGUAGCGGGGGAUAACUAUUGGAAACGAUAGCUAAUACCGCAUACUACCAGAUGGACCUGCGUUGUAUUAGCUAGUUGGUGGGGUAACGGCUCACCAAGGCAACGUUACAUAGCCGACCUGAUAGGUGUAGCGGCCACACUGGGACUGAGACACGGCCCAGAAUCCGACGGGAGGGAGCAGGAGGGAAGCUUCGGAAAUGGGGGGAACCCUGACCGAGGAACGCCGCGUGAGGGAAGAAGGUUUUCGGAUCGUAAAGCUCUGUUGGUAAGGAAGCGGUACUUAACCAGAAAGGGACGGCUAACUACGUGCCAGCAGCCGCGGUAAUUC